Long non-coding RNA from Xenia sp. Carnegie-2017, 868 nucleotides. RefSeq lists it as uncharacterized. The record is from RefSeq and is a predicted model, not a curated record. NCBI's taxonomy places the organism in Eukaryota, Metazoa, Cnidaria, Anthozoa, Malacalcyonacea, Xeniidae. The transcript is spliced from 4 exons.
GCUCGAGGCAAAUUGUGAAAUAUUGAGAAUGUUCAAUUAAUGGCGACAUUGUUUUGAGGCAUAAGAUAUCAUUUGUACACUGCUCUUGAGAUUUUCAUCAGCGAUAAUUUUCCCUGUGCCAAACCAUUGGAUAGUUUGGAAGUAUCUACUGUGUUAUCCCUUCAAGAAAUAGCUUUCAAAAUAGCCCUAUCGUUGGAUAUUGUCAAGCAAAGAAUACUCACAACCAACUGUCAUUAUUGUCUUUAACGAAAUAAACGAAAUAACUAGAAUUUUGAGUUCCAAUAUAUGCAGAUAAUCAUAACAACUUUGAUGAAAUUGUGUCUGCCGAAUAUUGGUUUAUCAAGUUUUCAUGCAUUGAAAUAGAAAAAUUUGAUCCAGAGUUUUUCACAGUUUUUUCCACUCUUAGUAUCAGAACGAAGGACAAGUGAUGUGGAUUUUACAUCAUGCUUUAGUACAAUAGCAGCUUCUUAUAUUAAAAUUUCUAUCUGCAUGUGUAGUUUAAUAAUGAAGAUUUGAUAAAUAUAGAAAACGACAGUGGGUGAAAAAUUUAGAGCAGUGGGCGUAAAAAUUAAAAUCUUUAAAUGCACAUAGUAACCUCAAAAAGUUUUGAGCAUACAAAACAUAUAUUUUGCCAAUAACAUCAAUAAAUAAUAAUUUGCUGAAAUAACUGGAGAUAAUUCGACAAAAUAUCCUCAAACACCUAAAUUCAAUAAAAGAUAUUCUUUGAAAUGGCUGUAUCUUUUAUGGCAAAAGUUGCCGUAAAGAAGUCAUAAGAAAAGAAUCGAUGUAAAAUAUCUAAAUAACAUACUUUUUCUGUUUUGGGGGGCUUACGUUAUGUUAAGUUUCAAUAAUUAUCACUUACAGACAA